CAGGGGGGUUCCUGCUUCUGCUAAGUAACAGGUCCUCCAAGAUGCAGACACCAAAACAGAAUAUGACGUGCAAGAAAUGUACUGGGGGACAUGCCUAUGGAAGAUAAAGGAGGAAGAAGCACAAGUCUGAAAAGAGAGCGGAAGGAAGAGUGACAGACCACAGGGCAGGUGGUGGAAAGUCUCCACCAGGCCAACAGGUAGCCUCCCGAGCCAAGGCUGCCCGUUGGAGGAGUCCCACCCGGAGCAGGAAGGGACCGGCUCCAGCACGGAGCCAACAGCCCAGGGAGCCUGAGGCUGCAGAGGGAGCCUGGUGACCUCUCCCAAGGGCCCCUAUGCCUCGGCCAAGUCUUCUCUGUCUGUAAGACCACUGUGGCGUCCUCAUGAAGAUUCAUUAACGUCUUAUUGAUGAAGCCUGAUUUGCCUCCUACCCUUCAAGCAAGAGGGAUCACUCCCCAUUUGUCACUGUGGUGACACUUGAUGGAUGGGCCCCACAGAGCCCUGCAGUGCGUGCUGGUCACCCACGGCCCCCUCCGUUCUGACUGCUCAUUACCCAUGCUCUUGGGACUCUUGUUUUCUGAGUGCUAUUUUUUUCACAAGUCAUUUCCCUUGAGGGGCAGGGGCCUCAUCUUUUUUCUGUAUCCCCAGCACUUAGCCCGGUGCCUGGCAUGGAAUGAGGCUCCAUCAAUGUCUGACGAAUGAAUGACCCUCAGAUAGAAUAACCAAACGUAAGCUCCAAAAACGGCUCAAUCUGCCCUCCAUCCAUCCCCAGUGUCUAUUUCUGGACCCCCCCUCCACGCCUCCAGCAAAAAUACAUCCACUUUGA
Molecule: long non-coding RNA, 823 nt
Organism: Neomonachus schauinslandi (Hawaiian monk seal)
Lineage: Eukaryota; Metazoa; Chordata; Mammalia; Carnivora; Phocidae
Exons: 3
Source: RefSeq, a predicted model, not a curated record